Molecule: ribosomal RNA, 291 nt
Filed under: Newmanella radiata
Lineage: Eukaryota; Metazoa; Arthropoda; Thecostraca; Balanomorpha; Tetraclitidae
Description: partial 12S ribosomal RNA
Source: RNAcentral
UUGGCGGCAAGAUAGCCCCUUAGAGGAACCUGCCCUGUAAACGAUGAACCACGAGUACCCUACUUCUUUUAGUAAAUCAGUUUGUAUAUCGCUGUUGUCAGUUAGAUUUUAGAGAAUAUUUUCGUUUAUGAUAAAUUCAUUGACUUCAAGUAAAGGUGCAGCUUAUAGAGAAGAUAGAGGUGGGUUACAUUUAAAAGAUUAAAACGGAUAAGAUUUAUGAAAUGAUCUUUGAAGGUGGAUUUAACUGUAAAACUAACGAAAGUUUGGUGAGAGCUCUAUCUUGUGUACACA